Molecule: long non-coding RNA, 5407 nt
Organism: Daucus carota subsp. sativus
Lineage: Eukaryota; Viridiplantae; Streptophyta; Magnoliopsida; Apiales; Apiaceae
Exons: 11
Source: RefSeq, a predicted model, not a curated record
AUGUUUGAAUGGAAAAUUAUAUUUCUUAAACAAUUUAAAGAUUCGUGAUCAUCAUAUUUAAAAAUCAUAAAAUAUUUUUUAAAAUUAUAAUAUUAUUAAAAUCGACCGGUUAGAGAAAAAUCAGUCUAACACGAAUCUUUCUUUGUAUCGUAAUAUUUUACAUUUCAAAUAUUGUACAAAGGAUUUGUCUCAUGUGUGAACACAUGCUAAACACUAAAGUAUACUCUUUCCGUCCGCCUGAGUAGUAUACAUUGGGGGACGGGGAUGCGGCACGAACUUUAAUGCUCCUGUAAAGUAUAGUUGUGUAAUUUAUUUUUAAGAUUUUCUUUUUCUGAAUUAAAGUUACGGAACUAUAUUUUAUAAGAGCAUUGAAAUGCGUGUCGAGCAGUUGAAAAGAAACGUAUACAAUUAAAUGGGACAUAGGGAGUAUGAAUUUGGAUUUUUUGAUUGAUGUGUUUAUUGUGAAUACACAGUGUUCACUGUUAUUAAGUAAAUAAGAGAAAUUUAUCAAAUUGUGUAUCUAAAAUCUGUUUUAUAAACUAACGAGGUAAAUAGCCACCUCGUGCCUGCGAUCCGCCACUGAUCCACAAUAUCUCAUCCACCUCAACUAAAUUGUUCAUAUUUAGAUCUUCCAUUCUUGACCGAAAAAGUACUCAGAGGCUAGAAUCUAUCUGACAAGAUAUAUAACAGACAGAUGAUGAUUCAUGACCCGAUUCAGCUUGGAUUACGGUUAUAUACAUCGGGGGCAUUCUAAUCUAUAGUGACAUGCCGCCUCCUUGUCUCUUAGCGUCUGCGCCGUUGAUCCAUUUACAGAUGGAACUUAAAUUUCAAAAUACUACCUCCAUCCCAAAUUAGAUGUCCUCGUUGACUUUAGGCACGUAACCGUCUACUUUCGAAUUUUUUUUUUUUUUUUCUUUUGUAAAUGAAAAUUUCAUAUUUUAAUUUUUAUUUGCAAAAAUAAAAUUUUUAAAAUAAGUCACGUAUCUAUGCGGUCAAUGAACCUUAAAUCGUGUGUCCAAAGUCAACGGGGCCAUCUAAUUUGAGAUGGAGGGAGUAUUAAGUUAAAACGAUUUAGUGCUAGGUUUAUGGAAUUAGUAAAAAUUUCUAACAAAUAUCUAUUAACAUCAUUAUUGAUUAUAUUAGGUCUUUUUUUUAAUUUAGUUUGUAGAACUACUGUGUACCAUAAACUAAUUCGUCUUCGAUUACUCCCUAUCUAAUUUCGCCAGACAAAUCUGGUCUUCAAACACCCAUGUAGACUGUAGUCGGACACAUGUUCCUCGUUCACGGUGGCUGAACCGAGUCCAUCUAUAUCACAUUUUUCCUUAAUAGCUUAUUGCCAUCCAUAUGGAGUUAUUAUUUGAGUUUAUUCGUUUCUAGGAGAAGAUAUCUGAAAGUAGUACUCCCUCCAUCACAUUUUAUCGUGAACACUUAAAAUGAGAUGAAGAGAGUUUUAUGUACCUCUGUUAUAUUUAAUCCAUCUUGUUUUCUAUUUUCCCGGUAAUUGCAUGCUUUUUUUGAACAAAGUUCAUAUAAAUAUAUAAACGCAUCCUCGAAAAUCGGAACUAAUUGAUGGAGUUUACUGUCCAGCGAUUAAGCGAAUGAUUAAUCGGGACAUAAAUAUAUAAACUAAAAUAAUAUAAUAGUAUAUAUAAUUAUUAAAAUCAUUAUACUAGUUUUAAUAAAAUCUAUACUAUACUAUAAAAAGCCAACAUGUGUAUAAUUUGUAGUCCCACUUUUCCUUCAUGUUUUUUGGUUUCGUCUCGUCGCGCUGGUAUUUAAAAACCGUGUCUCACAAGGGGUCUCUCUCCCGCACAAGUCGAGCUUGCCUCUUGAAGUGAGUUGAUCAAAACCUAAUAGCAAAGUUUGAUUUACUCUCCUUCCGGCCCUCAAUUCCAUCUGGGUUCUUUAAAAUCAUCCUCUUCUAUAUUGGAAUGUUGUUUUUGUAUUUGCUUGAUUGGGCUGUAGAAAGUUUCAUCAUGAUCCUCAGACAAUUGUUAAUAACUGCAAUAAGGCUUUGAUUCUGAUUGAAGCGUGGCGGGAGUGAGCUUCGCUAUUUGCGUGUUUAUGAGGAGACGUAUAAGAGCUUGAGGUCCAGAGGUAUACGCUUUCCUGGUCGUGAUGGUGAGAGUUUGGCUCCUAUAUUCACUCCUCCUCAUUCGACCACAGCACCGGAGCCAAAUGCGAGCUUGGCACAAAAAAUGUAUAAUGAGGUUCCUGUGAUAAGCUUUUCUCCCGAGCAUUGCAAGAAACAGUAUUGAACUUCUUAGGACAGUUUUGUCCCCCUCACCAGAGCAAGAAGCUUUACAGAAAUUCUAUGAGAAACGACAAUUGUAUUUUAAGUGGUUUAAGCUGUAAAGUAGUGGCAUCAAAGCUGGGAGCUGUAUUCCAAUCAAAUACGGUUGUUGUGGUUAUUGAACCAGAGCCAGUAGGCGCGGUCACUGAAGUCGAACCGAAAGAGAUGCAGCAAUCAUCUGAGAAGAGGCAAAGGUAGUACGGCGAGAGAUUGGUAGCUUGACAUACAACACAAAUACAAAGAAGCGAAGAAAUAAUUAAAAUAGGUUCGUCAUCUGUGGAUGAGGAUUCGGAGGUUACUAUGUACCAGAAUGUGAAGAGGAACAGUACAUACCAGGUGGUUGCACUCGGGGUUCUCGAUAAGGAGACACAGACUCUUAGGUUGUGCCAGUCACUUCUAAUAAGGGACUAAGAGUUGAGUGGAGGACUAACCUCCCAUUUUUCCUGCCAAACUUCGAAGGAUCAGACACUACACAAGAUGAAGCUCAACAAAUUUUAAAGGAUGAAGAUGGCAGAGAAAAGAGACUCAAAGAGGGUGCCCUGCAGAAAUCGAAAGGUCUCAUUAUUCAUUAAUCAUUACUGAUAUUACUACUUCGGUUACAUAUUUGUGAAGGCUGGAAAUGAGAGGUACUGACUUCGAGUUCUUCAGGCAAAGUGUAGUGGUAGUUCAUAUGAAGCUGAUAAUGCUAUGCAAGAUGAAAAUUCUAGCAAUCUAAAAAAUUUGUGCUCUAGAAAGAAGAGGCAAUGGCUUAUGCACGAUCUUUAGUAGCAGGAUUUGAGAUGGAUCCUAUCGACGACCUCAGCUUUUUUGCUGAUGCUUUUGGAGCUUCGCGUUAAAGACUACAAGAUUACACCAAGGUCAGACAAAUCUGCUUGCAUCUGGAGGAGGUGGUGGUGAUAGGUGCACCAAAAUUUUUCACUCAGGCUCACAGGGGCAAAUUCUAUAGGAAGGUCUUGGUAGGGGCAAAUCUUCCCCGAAACCCCUUAGAGGCACGGCCAAUCUUUUUCUUGAUUUAGAUUCUAAUCCAUUACUUAUAAUGCUUUACUUCCCCCUGGAUUUAUAUGCACUCCAGACUUUACUUCCCUCUGAUCUAUAUGCACUCCAGACUCAUCAGCAUACAACAUAGUUUCUCCAUUGGAGAUCCAAGGACAAGACAGAGUAAUUACAGUUUACAAGCACAUGAAUUCGAAGCCCUUGAGCAAGUAGUUCAAAUGAAUAAAAGUAUAUUUGAUAAAGCACAUAAAAAAUCGUUUAUUAUCAUAAUACAGUGCAACUUUUCUUGGUCCUGCAGAACAUAUAACAAUGGCAAGAAACUGUAAGUGUUAACAUGUUAAUCUUAAUUUAAGCUAAAAGUGAACAAGCAAACUACAAAUUCGAUGACAAGUAUAUAUAGAUGACAAGUGAGUUAUCCGGUCAGUUUGUAGAUCCACAUGUAUGUUAGAACUUAAUUGAUGUAUGUUUUCUAUUGAUAUUUUAAUAUUUUGGUUAUUAUUGCGUUGUUAGCACAUCGUCUUUUUCUUUAUAUAUACGAGAAAUGCUAAAAUACUUUGAAUAACUCUCCACGGUUGCAACUGGAGUACAGGCACGUAUACAGGCAUGUAUAUUUAUAUGCAUAUUUUACUUAUGGUUUAGUUAGGUUGUUGAAUCCGCAAUAUUGUGAAAUAUUUCUCUGCUUUUAUACUUGGUAAAUGGUAGUGAAAUGUGAAAAAUUCCUAACUAUAGCAUGCUUUUACAGUUAAAAUUGUUUGAUUUGAAUUGUGAAAUCUGCUUUUUAAUUUUUCAUCCAUAAAAGGAUAUAAAUUGGGGAACAAAAUAGACUUUUAAUUUUCCCUCAAAAGGUUUGUGAACUAUAAGAUUCUUUUUUAUUAGGGUAGUGAAAGACCAUAAAUUGUUUCUGUUUAUGCACAAAGUAUGUAAAGAAUAUUGAAAGUUUAUUUUUUUGCUAAUUUAUAGAGCAUAUCUAAGUUACUUUGAAGUUUAUGCAAUCUCGGGUGUUCUUUUAUAAAGCUUUUGUUUUAUUAAGAAGCUGGAGAAGAAAGACUAAAUUGGAGUUAAGGAGCAACAGGAAUGACAAAUAUUGAUUUGUUGAUGUGAAAAAGUUUGAUUAUGCUUAACAAAAAAUGAGGUAUGAUUAUGAUAUAACUAUUAUUUCCGGUUGAAUCAGUCUAAUCCUUGGAAUAAUUAGUUCACUAUUAAGUACAUUUGUGCUUAUGGAAAUUCCGAUUAUCCAGAAUAAGCACCUGUUUGAAUGGAUUGAUACUUUUACUAUUUGUUCAGAUUGGGAGAGUGGUCUUCAAAACAAUUUUAGUUUAAGGUAUCGUCAGCCAGCUAAUGGCAUUUUAAAGCCCUAGGUCAUUUUGUCAUCCGUGAUGGAGAAUAUACUUCUGCGUUUUAGUAUUAACUGUUAUUCUUUGUUUUACAACCUUACUUUUUUGAUGGCUUUAUUGAUUUCAUGUGAUCAACGAUGUUUAAUUUAUUUAUCUUUCCCCCUUUCAGGACUACGGAAUACAUAUUUCUUAAUGGAGAUGUCUAUUUAGGCAGACUAAAAGGGAUGCUCCCUCAUGAAAGUCGUAAAUACGCUUGGUCAGGCGGAACAGAUUAUGAGGGUGAUUGGGACAAAAGAAAAUCAACCGGUAAGGGAAAGCUUUCCUAUGUAGAAUGGUUACAACCAUGAUACCAUUGCUACAAAGGUAACAUCGAUGCAGCCAUAUUAAGUUUGAUUUUCGGAGGCUGCUUACAAGAAGCAUGGGUUUGAGAAAUUUAGACAAGCAUGCUAUCUUUUGACCAUCUCAGGGAUAAAGUUGACACCUAAGGCUGCAAUUCUUUCAUGUGGGUACCCGGGAUCAUCCAUCUAGUUCCUAAGUGCAGUUGCUUAAUGCUAUGGUUGUGCAUAUGGCCGUUGGUCAUUUUGACAACCUCUUGCAAGAUGUAAUGUGUGAUUUAUAAAGAAAAUUGUAGUGUGAAUAGGUUUAUUAAGGCCUGAUGAAAAGAGAUGUUUUUUUUUUAUCUCCAACUACAAUUUAAUUUUACAAGUUCUUGUCGUGCAACGUUGUUAGAAAACUUUCAAUGUUUUAUGGAUAAAUGAAUUAUUUACAAGGAGUGUUGGCUUUUUUU